Long non-coding RNA from Hypanus sabinus (Atlantic stingray), 2740 nucleotides. RefSeq lists it as uncharacterized. Lineage: Eukaryota; Metazoa; Chordata; Chondrichthyes; Myliobatiformes; Dasyatidae. The transcript is spliced from 2 exons. The record is from RefSeq and is a predicted model, not a curated record.
UAUAGACCAAUAUCACUGAUGUCCCAUUUGUGUAAAGUUAUGGAAUUUAUGGUAAUAGAAUGGUUGAAUAAUAUUUUGGAAAAGGGAGGUGAUGUGCUGUUGUUAAUAUACUGGAUUAAUUUGAGGGGCAAAUGCUGGUUCAAUGCCACAUGUCCCAAAAGCUGUCAAUGUUUUUAUGCAGAAAACUCAGCAUCUACUUCAACACAGCAAGCUUCCACAAACAACAUAAUCAAUGGAAAUGUCAAUCCAUGGCCUCCUAUACUGUCCCAAUGAGGCCACACUCAGAGGACAGCAUUGUAUUGCAACAGCCUGGCUGUGUGAGGCACAGCCCUUCAAAAUCAGUGAAAAUGACCCAAAACAAUGAAUAGAGCAGAACACGAAGAUUUUAACCACACAAGACGUCAUCCUUGGUCCAGAGCUGUGAGGAAUGAAGACUAUUUGGGACAAAACCCUAGUGAAUUCAUCUUCUGCAGUUUCCAGAAAGUUAUGGAUUUAAUUCAAAGUAAACCUCUGUAUCACAAGCUGAGCAGUUGCAAAAUGUAUAUUAUAGGGUGAGUGACAGGUGAACAGCAGUGAUGGAUUUGAAAGCUCUGGGGUAGAAAAGGAACAAAAGCCGGUACCAGAUGAACUGAGUGGCCUUUCUACUGUACAUUAGCUGUGUGACAGGCAGGAAGCUCCUGAGACACAAGAUUUGAAAUCGAGCUGAUUAAUUUGUCACAGAUCCACAACAUUAAUGCCAGAGUAUUUUCAGACUAACUUCAGCAGAACAAACACUCCAAUGCUCAGUGACCAGGGUUCAGUCACAAUAUCUGCAAAAUCUGAUAUUGACAGUCUCACAUGAACUUCCAACUAGAUUCAGUCAUCAUGAUGGUUAAAAUGUUCACCUAGAGCUUUAUUAAACUUCCUCCCUGAUGUGAAGUUGCCAGUGUUUCUGCAGGUGGGAUGACUGAGUAAAUUUCUUUGCUGACACAAGACCGAAGUGUGUCCUCUAUGUAUUUUAAACUUGCUGGAGCCUCACAAAAUGGGUGAACUGAGUGAAUCUCCUCCCACGCUUGGAACAGGUGUGAAGCUAUACUGAGAGACAGAGACAACUGAGCCAAGUCUAGCUGCUCACCGAUGUGACCCGGCUGAUGGAGUAAGAGCUCAUGUGACUGAAUGAAUCCUCUCCCACACACAGAGCAGGUUAAUGCCCUCUCCCCAUGUGAACUGGCUGGUGUAUCUGCAGGUUCAGUGGCCUGGUGAAUCCCUUGCAAAAUGAGAGGAAGUGAAUGUCAGCUCAGCGGUAUCAACUCUGUGGCCAUUUAUCAGGUCAGAUGAAGGACAUGUCCACGUAUUGGGGUUCUCCUUGCUCAGACUGGUGGGCAGUCUUCUCAACCAUCUCCUCCUUCACAUUCAAUGAUUAGUAGUAUUCAAAUGUCAGGGAACUGACAAUCACAUGAGUCCAGACACACUGUUGCGUUUGAGAUUCUCAGACAUAAAUUCUUUGCCUUUUCUGCCCUGUAAAAUGUUUGCAAAGAAGACCAAUAGGUGAAAGACAACAUUUCAGCUGAGAUUAUUUAGUUUUUUUCAUUGAUGUCUGAUGUCACACUGUUAAGGAGAGGCUGAACACAAUUUGCUGGAUCAACAUUUCCAGCUGAGAAUAGUUCAGGCAUAAGGACACAACAUCAGAUUCUCUGUUUUCCUCUCUGCCCUUCAUCAAGCUGUGACUUGGCUCAGUUUGUCUCUCUCCAUUCGUACAACUUCACAUUCUGGGUAUCUCCCACAGACCUACUAUGAACACACAUUUGUUGGCAUUUGGCAGUGGUAAACUCGGAGUCAGCAAUGCCAUUGAACCUGAAGAGAAUGUGAUCAGGCUUUCUCGUUGCAGACUGACACUGUGGUAUUCUUGUAGUGUGAAUGCUACUGGUACCCAGUAUGUUAUUGUGGGUUUUUACAAAUAAAAUGGCAUGAGGCAUUUUAUGUUUAGUGACAACUGUAACAACUCAUUUAUUAUCCUCCAAACACAGAAACAAAGCACAGUUUAAAAUAAAAUGACAUAAUUACAUCAUAACAUCUGUCCAGCCUUUUAAAGAGAAACACAACUCAAUGUUGGUGGUUGUUAAUUCUGCAUGUUUCCACCCAUUACAUUAAUCUACACAGACACCUCUCCCCCCCCCAGUCCUCUCACUGCUCCCCCUCUGUGAUCGUUAUAGCAGUUUAUUUCCUUUCAAUGUCAGUACUGUCCAUUUGACAACCUUCCUCACCACCCACAACUGCACCAACAUUCAUAUCAACAGUGAUCUGAUCAGCCCGUGUGUAUUUUAAUCUGAUCAUACAGAGGCCCCAUCAUUGAUCACUGUGUGGACACACUGGUUACAUAUCUACAGUUAAAAUCAUUCUCAAUUCCAUCACUCCAAAUGUUGCUACAUGAUACUCAAUACAUACCCUGUAACUGGGUGUCUUACCAGCAAAGACAGGUAUCCAUUCGAGUCUGGUGAUACUAUUUUCAACAAUAUUUAUUAGCAAAAAUAUACAAAAUAAUAGCAAUGCAAAUAUACGUUAACAAUACUAAACUUAAAAGUGCGAGUAUAAUAAUAAUCACUAGUGAAACAAGCUCUAUCGUUGUCUAGGGGAUAAUGAAUUGUCAGAUGAAAAUAUAAAGUUCCGUUCAGUUCAUGCAGGUUGCGGUAGUUGUUUGUCACGGUGUUUCAAUUGUUGAGAGAGAGAGAGAGAGAGAGAGAGAGAGAGAGAGAGAGAAAAU